Long non-coding RNA from Pseudopipra pipra, 990 nucleotides. RefSeq lists it as uncharacterized. The record is from RefSeq and is a predicted model, not a curated record. NCBI's taxonomy places the organism in Eukaryota, Metazoa, Chordata, Aves, Passeriformes, Pipridae. The transcript is spliced from 2 exons.
CUUGUCAGCAGCAGUGGGAUAAUGGCUUUGGGGAGAUGGCAGCAGGCACAUGAACAUCCCGCUCUUGCAGCUGCUGAGGAGGUUGAUCUCCUGGGCUUGGCUGGAGGAGGUGGCACCUGUGUUGAGUAAUUGCUGAAAUCCAAUCGAUCUGGGAUGACCCCAAAUGACAGUUUAGUUUUCAGCUUGCUCGAGCUGUAUCUCAGCAGCUUUUGGGUAUCAUUUUUGGCCCCCAGACAGGACACCUCUGCCUGAUCUCCCGCGGAUCCGAGGGAUCUCUGGAUCUUCACGCCAGCACCAGGACUUUGCUGCAGAAGAGCACAGAUCCCCAGCCCAGUCUGGGACACAGAACCUGUGAAAGGGCAGAAAGAUUGUGGUGUGAAUGCAGCACCCUCAGAGCCCUUGGUGUGAGCCGGGAAAGGAAAAUCAAGCUGAGGGACAAGAUCAGUCUAAUUUGGGGACAUUGUUGGAGGUUGCAGUUGCAGUUCUGGAAGAAAUCCCUGAGGAAAUGGUGCCCCGGGGAGAGGAAGAGGACGAGAGCAUGGGCAGCCUGCUUCAAACAUCCCCCCAGGAGACUUGGGAGCAGUCCCUGUGCAUCCUGUAAGAAAGAUGGACACUGGAAAUGGGAUUGUCCGCAAUCCCCCCAGAGAACCCUGAAGGAGACCCCAAAGGACCAACUAAGGACUUGCAAUAGGGGGGGUGACUGUGUAAAGUAAAGUAACAUCUAUGUCUUAAGUAAGGGAGAAUAUCUAAUGAAUCUGGAAACUGUGUGUGUCGUGUAAAGCCCUGUGUGGCUGUCACUGAAGUGCUGAGGCUGAACAACAGGCCCUGAGCCAAAGCUGAGCUCUAGAUGAACCUUCCAACCUAACAGUCUGUUUAUCCCUGUAUUUGCUCCUUAGCUAAAACUGUGUAUGUUUGUUGGUCAAAGAUGCAGUGUGGAAAGACUCCCCGUGUACCUGCCCCUGAACAAAAUAAAUGUGCUUCUUAGUGAGA